UCCGUAGGUGAACCUGCGGAGGGAUCAUUACCGAGUUUACAACUCCCAAACCCCUGUGAACAUACCACUUGUUGCCUCGGCGGAUCAGCCCGCUCCCGGUAAAACGGGACGGCCCGCCAGAGGACCCCUAAAACUCUGUUUCUAUAUGUAACUUCUGAGUAAAACCAUAAAUAAAUCAAAACUUUCAACAACGGAUCUCUUGGUUCUGGCAUCGAUGAAGAACGCAGCAAAAUGCGAUAAGUAAUGUGAAUUGCAGAAUUCAGUGAAUCAUCGAAUCUUUGAACGCACAUUGCGCCCGCCAGUAUUCUGGCGGGCAUGCCUGUUCGAGCGUCAUUUCAACCCUCAAGCACAGCUUGGUGUUGGGACUCGCGUUAAUUCGCGUUCCUCAAAUUGAUUGGCGGUCACGUCGAGCUUCCAUAGCGUAGUAGUAAAACCCUCGUUACUGGUAAUCGUCGCGGCCACGCCGUUAAACCCCAACUUCUGAAUGUUGACCUCGGAUCAGGUAGGAAUACCCGCUGAACUUAAGCAUAUCAAUAAGCGGAGGA
RNAcentral lists this ribosomal RNA (545 nucleotides) under Fusarium oxysporum. Its description in RNAcentral is "eukaryotic LSU rRNA". The stretch from base 180 to 333 matches the Rfam family "5.8S ribosomal RNA". Lineage: Eukaryota; Fungi; Ascomycota; Sordariomycetes; Hypocreales; Nectriaceae. The record is from RNAcentral.